Molecule: long non-coding RNA, 2747 nt
Organism: Ostrea edulis (European flat oyster)
Lineage: Eukaryota; Metazoa; Mollusca; Bivalvia; Ostreida; Ostreidae
Exons: 2
Source: RefSeq, a predicted model, not a curated record
AUUUUAAAAUAAAAACCAACAACGUUUUGACAAGUCGACAUUGAAGAUAUCGUAUUUUUGAAAAACGGAUGUAAUACACCGAAGAGCACUGCAUGCGAGGUGACACAAUGUCGCUCGAUAAAUGCUAAAGCGACUCCGAAUGCAACGUUUGAAUUCCAGUGGGAUCCUGCCACAAUACUACGCGUCAGACAGGAGUACGCCACCUUAACAUUCAGCAACAAAACUUUGUGAAAGAGUCAUUAGUUCGGAAAAAUCAAAUCCUAAUAGAGAAGUAUCGAUUUUUCCUCCCCUUGGACGGAUUUAGAACGUUCUUUCUAUCCUAUUGCGUGCGGUGUAAUAUGUAUUGUUUCCUUCUACUGAUUAUGUGUAUAAGUGUUAAAUGUUACAGACGUAACCAUCAAAUUCUGUUCUUUAUGUAAGUUUUUGUAAUUUUAUAAAUUCUAACUGUAAUAUCUUUUUAUUCAAUUUGUCAGCUAUGACAUUCGGCUUAAACUCAAACGUGCUCCGUUACACGGUAUAUUAUUUUUGAAAAAAAAGGUCUUUGUGCAUCACGUCACAGCUGUGAAUUUGUGGUAGCUAUCAAACAGUCUUGGUCAGAGGUCCAUGACGGCGCGCGAGAGUGGGGUGGGGGUAGAGUGGGUGGGGUUGAACACCAAUAGCCAGUAUAAAUAAAACAUACUCUCAAACUGAUAUGCUUAUUAGGCAAAAGGCAAGCAUUAUGACAUACACUUUAUUUCAAAAUAUUUCUACUUUUUGAGUACAUACCACUUACACUCGACAUUAUAUAUAUAUAUAUAUAUAUAUAUAUAUAUAUAUAUAUAUAUAGUCUUCCUGUAAACAAUCCCAGGAAGACAAUGAUUUUUAUUGAUAUAUAUAUACAAUGUAUAUUUAAAACGUCGAGUGUCUGUGGUUUAUACAGAUCACAGAAAAUAUAGUAUUUGUGAGAGUUAUCUUGGUAAAUAAAAUGUAUGCAGCCAAAUUCCUCCUAAUGGUUCUGUGAACAAUAUGUGUGUUACAACUUACUUACAAUAACUGAGGUUAUUUAAUAAGUAAAAUACGUAACAAUUAACAUACAACAACUGUGGUUAUUUACUUAGUAUGAUUUUUCAACAAAAACUGAACUAUAAAGUAAAAUUUGUUAAGGUACCUCUAUGUGACAUCAUAAGUUCUUUUUUGCAAAAUCUUUAAUUCGUUAAACUUUGAUUAAAAAUUUAUCUUUUGUAAGAAUUUUAUUCACUGGGUACAAUAAAAAAAAACAACAACUAGUAAACUAUAUGAUACUGAAAAAGUUUACAUUUUCUAUAAAUAUUUAAUGAUCAUUAUUUAUAUUACAAUCUGUCGCCAAGGGCAAUAACUCGUGCUAUUAUUUUCUCUAUUGUAUGUCUACAAUGAUUUUCCUGAUAUCCACAAUUAAUUUAUAUGUAUUUAUAAAUUAUGAAUUCUUUUUAAACUGCUAAUAUUAAAACCGUGUCAUUUUAACUUUAUGUACUUUUUAUUACGCUGUUUAACGAAAAUGUGCGAUUUUCUUAUGUUACUAUAUAUACUUCUGUUUAUGCACAUAUAUGUCUAAUAUCUUUAGAAAGGGGGCAACAUAUAGACUUUAGGGGGGGGGGGGUUAUUGAUUGAAUAAAACUUAAUUAAAUGGAAAUUAAUACAUUAUUUUUAUAGUUUGAACCCAUAAUAAGCUACCUUAAUCGAUAUAAGAAGAUGCCAAAGCUGUCAAAUUGUUUAUAAAAAGUUAUUUACAUGUAUAUUGUGAACUGCAGAAUGAAACACAUUGUGUCUAGAAAAUAAUGGAUGACAGAAAUACUAAUAGGAUAGAAACAAUUUUUUCAAGACGAACUUAUACAUUAGUAUUGAAACAAAUUAUCUGUACAGGAAUAAGAGGACAAUAUUAAGCCUUUUUGUUUUUUUGUUUAGAUUUGAAUAUGGGAAAUCAGGCGUAAGGCAUACUGCCAAAUUGUGCAUGCCCAUUUCAUAUUCCUUGCUAGAAGUACUGCACAUAUUGCUAUUAUACACCAGUGGCUAUACUGAGGCUUAUUUACCUAAAACCUUUAUUGUAACAUAGAUUCUACAAAUGUUAACACGAUAUGAACAGAAUAAAUCUUUACACUAGCUAGAUAUGCAUACGUGGUUAACGGUAUAUGUAAUACCGGAUCUAGGGGGGGGGGGGGAGGGGGGAGGGGGGGGGAGGUUACGGAAGUUGCAACCUAACCCCAAACUUUGAUUGAAAAUUUUAAAGAAAAAGUGGUCUUUUUUUGGCCAUAUUUUUUUUCCAAUCUCCUUUUUUGGGACGGAAAAGGGACAAACUUGGGUCGCAACCAACUCCUCAUCUCCGCCUUUGAAAAUUUUCUGGAUCCGCCCCUGCAGUCUGAAGUGCGAAUUGUGAUAUGAGAAAAUAUAAUAUCUGUUUAUAGUUAGAGUUAUCUUUCUUUGUUUAUUGAGCGAGUAUUUGCUUGCAUCUGUACACUUGCUGACUUGUGUUGAUUUGUGUUAUUUCCAGUGAAUUAUCUCUAGCCUUAUUGACGAUUGUGUUAUAAGCAAUUAGAACAUAUAUGUACUAUUUGUAUGAAAUGCAUUUCUUGCAUCAUUUCAAUUGCUCUAGUCAUAUCAGAAUGUCAGAAUUUACGGUGUAUGCGAAUGUUACAUAGAAAUGUUGUUUAUGUUUCAAUCUUUUACCACAUAGAUCUGUACACGUUGCUAUAUCAAAACUCAACUUUAUGCAAAUAAAGAAGUUUGCAAAGUAA